AUUGAACGCUGGCGGCAUGCCUUACACAUGCAAGUCGAACGGUAACAGGUCUUCGGAUGCUGACGAGUAGCGAACGGGUGAGUAAUACAUCGGAACGUGCCUAGUAGUGGGGGACAACUACUCGAAAGAGUGGCUAAUACCGCAUGAGAUCUACGGAUAAAAGCAGGGGAUCGCAAGACCUUGUGCUACUAGAGCGGCCGAUGGCAGAUUAGGUAGUUGGUGGGAUAAAAGCUUACCAAGCCGACGAUCUGUAGCUGGUCUGAGAGGACGAUCAGCCACACUGGGACUGAGACACGGCCCAGACUCCUACGGGAGGCAGCAGUGGGGAAUUUUGGACAAUGGGCGAAAGCCUGAUCCAGCAAUGCCGCGUGCAGGAUGAAGGCCUUCGGGUUGUAAACUGCUUUUGUACGGAACGAAAAGCCCCGGGUUAAUACCCUGGGGUCAUGGCGGUACCGUAAGAAUAAGCACCGGCUAACUACGUGCCAGCCGCCGCGGUAA
Molecule: ribosomal RNA, 498 nt
Filed under: uncultured bacterium
Lineage: Bacteria
Description: partial 16S ribosomal RNA
Rfam family: Bacterial small subunit ribosomal RNA
Source: RNAcentral